Non-coding RNA from Cinara cedri, 318 nucleotides. The record is from the annotation of a GenBank genome assembly. NCBI's taxonomy places the organism in Eukaryota, Metazoa, Arthropoda, Insecta, Hemiptera, Aphididae.
GGUGAUAAUCAUAAUAUGGUAAUAUGAUUAUAAUCAAAAUAUAACGUCCAACUUUCGGUAAAAUUUCGAUAAAUAAUAGAUAGGCAAACAAUCGAACAGACAUCAAAAUAAACUAAAAUAUUCCUUGCAAUAGUCAGAACCUAAUUGUUAAGCGUUAUGUUAAUUGGUUCUACUAUGAUUUGUUUUUGUCUAUGAAUAACUAUUCUACAAGAAAUCUUUUACCAAAAAAAAAGUGUCAAAUGUGCAAAAGAUAGUGUUUGAUUUUCGGUGUAAUUUUUAUAAUUAUUUGGGUAAAACCGAAAAAAAUGAGAAAAACGC